This 366-nucleotide unclassified non-coding RNA is filed under the name Hevea brasiliensis (rubber tree). Lineage: Eukaryota; Viridiplantae; Streptophyta; Magnoliopsida; Malpighiales; Euphorbiaceae. The record is from RNAcentral.
GCAGAAUAUUCUAUUCACCAGUUGAACAGUAGCUUAGGAACUAAACAACAAAACAGUAAACAAAAGGUGGCAACAAUGCCGAGUAACAGAAGCUACAUUAUUGAGAACAAGUAAUGGCUUCAAAUUCCAACCAUGCUUCCUGUAUUUUGGUUUGGAUAAAAAGAAAUCAUUGACAGCAGAAAAAACACCUCGAGGUCAGACUACACUCAGUGAUGAGCUUUUGCCUCGGCUUUCUUUUGAGAUUUCGCCUUAGCCUUGAGGUAGGAGAGCUUGAUGCUGCCGUAGACGACGCCAUACGAGAACGCCGCGGUGCGGGCGACGAGGGCGAGGGUGCUGGAUCCGGAGUAGGGCCCUGGAAUCGCCAUG